RNAcentral lists this ribosomal RNA (432 nucleotides) under uncultured bacterium. RNAcentral's name for it is "partial 16S ribosomal RNA". It matches the Rfam family "Bacterial small subunit ribosomal RNA", at positions 29 to 506 of the family's 1533-position model. The record is from RNAcentral.
AACGAACGCUGGCGGCAUGCCUAACACAUGCAAGUCGAACGAAGCCUUCGGGCUUGGUGGCGCACGGGUGCGUCACGCGGGGGAAGCUGCCCCUAGCUUCGGAAUAACAGUUAGAAAUGACUGCUAAUACCGGAUGAAGUCUUCGGACCAAGGAUUUAUCGGCAAGGGAUGAGCCCGCGUAGGCUUAGGUAGUUGGUGGGGUAAAGGCCUACCAAGCCGACGAUCCUUAGCUGGUCUGAGAGGAUGAUCAGCCACACUGGGACUGAGACACGUGCCAGACACCGGCGGGAGGCCGCAGUGGGGAAUAUUGGACACUGGACGCAAGUCUGAUCCAGCAAGGUCGCGUGGGUGAUGAAGGGCUUAGGAUUGUAAAGCGCUUUUACCAGGGAUGAUAAUGCCGGUACCUGGAGAAUAGGCUCCGGCUACCUCCUU